UGGCACCAAAUAACAAUUAUUUAGGUCUAAUAUUAAUCCCGAAGGUAGAUGUAGAGGUAGCGUGCCGACCGCGAUCACAUCGACUUUGGAACCGUUUCCCACGCGCAUCGUCACUUUGUCCUUAGCCAAUCUUCGCUUAAUCCGUAGUCCCUGUUUCGAGUUGCAAAUAUUAGCAACAGAACCAGUAUCAAAUACCCAGGUGCUACUGCGAGCAUUAGUAAGGUACACAUCAAUAACAUGUAUAUCACAUAUACCUUUGUUCACCUUGCCAUCCUUCUUAUCCGCCAAAUACUUGGGGCAGUUCCGCUUCCAGUGACCAGUCUGCUUGCAGUAAAAGCACUCAGUUUCAGACUUAGGUCCAGACUUGGGUUUCUUCUGUUGAGCAGCAACUUGCUUGCUGUUCUUCUUGAAGUUCCCCUUCUUUUUCCCUUUGCCCUUUUUCUUGAAACUAGUGGUCUUGUUGACCAUCAACACUUGAUGCUCCCUUUUUGAUUUCUACCUCCGCAGCUUUCAGCAUUGCGAAGAGCUCGGGAAUAGUCUUAUUCAUCCCUUGCACAUUAUAGUUCAUCACGAAGCUCUUGUAGCUUGGUGGCAGUGAUUGGAGAAUUCUGUCAAUGACGCAAUCAUCUAGAAGAUUAACUCCCAUUUGAAUCAAGUGAUUAUUAUACCCAGACAUUUUGAGUAUAUGCUCACUGACAGAAUUGUUCUCCUCCAUCUUGCAGCUAUAGAACUUAUUGGAGACUUCGUAUCUCUCAACCCGGACAUUUGCUUGAAAUAUUAACUUCAACUCUUGGAACAUCUCAUAUGCUCCAUGACGUUCAAAACGUCGUUGAAGUCCCGGUUCUAAGCCAUAAAGCAUGGCACACUGAACUAUCAAGUAGUCAUCAGCUUUGCUCUGCCAGACGUUCACAACAUCUGGUGUUGCUCCAGCAGCAGGCCUGGCACCCAGCGGUGCUUCCAGGAUGUAGUUCUUCUGUGCAGCAAUGAGGAUAAUCCUCAAGUUACGGACCCAGUCCAUGUAAUUGCUACCAUCAUCUUUCAACUUUGCUUUCUCAAGAAACGCAUUAAAAUUCAACGGAACAACAGCACGAGCCAUUUAUCUACAAUCAUACAUAAACAAGCAAGAUACUAUCAGGUACUAAGUUCAUGAUAAAUUUAGGUUCAGUUAAUCAUAUUACUUAAAGAACUCCCACUUAGAUAGACAUCCCUCUAAUCAUCUAAGUGAUUACGUGAUCCAAAUCAACUAAACCAUGUCCGAUCAUCACGUGAGAUGGAGUAGUUUCAUUAGUGAACAUCACUAUGUUGAUCAUAUCUACUAUAUGAUUCACGCUCGACCUUUCGGUCUCCGUGUUCCGAGGCCAUAUCUGUAUAUGCUUGACUCGUCAAGUAUAACCUGAGUAUUCCGCGUGUGCAACUGUUUUGCACCCGUUGUAUUUGAACGUAGAGCCUAUCACACCCGAUCAUCACGUGGUGUCUCAGCACGAAGAACUUUCGCAACGGUGCAUACUCAGGGAGAACACUUCUUGAUAAUUUAGUGAGAGAUCAUCUUAUAAUGCUACCGUCAAUCAAAGCAAGAUAAGAUGCAUAAAAGAUAAACAUCACAUGCAAUCAAUAUAAGUGAUAUGAUAUGGCCAUCAUCAUUUUGUGCUUGUGAUCUUCAUCUCUGAAGCAUCGUCAUGAUCACCAUCGUCACCGGCGCGACACCUUGAUCUCCAUCGUAGCAUCAUUGUCGUCUCGCCAAACUUAUGCUUCCACGACUAUCGCUACCGCUUAGUGAUAAAGUAAAGCAUUACAGCGCGAUUGCAUUGCAUACAAUAAAGCGACAACCAUAUGGCUCCUGUCAGUUGCCGAUAACUCGGUUACAAAACAUGAUCAUCUCAUACAAUAAAAUUUAGCAUCAUAUCUUGACCAUAUCACAUCACAACAUGCCCUGCAAAAACAAGUUAGACGUCCUCUACUUUGUUGUUGCAUGUUUUACGUGGCUGCUACAGGCUUAAGCAAGAACCAAUCUUACCUACGCAUCAAAACCACAACGAUAGUUUGUCAAGUUGGUGCUGUUUUAACCUUCGCAAGGACCGGGCGUAGCCACACUCAGUUCAACUAAAGUUGGAGAAACUGUCACCCGCAAGCCACCUAUGUGCAAAGCACGUCGGGAGAACCGGUCUCGCGUAAGCGUACGCGUAAUGUCGGUCCGUGCCGCUUCGUCCAACAAUACCGCCGAACCAAAGUAUGACAUGCUGGUAAGCAGUAUGACUUAUAUCGCCCACAACUCACUUGUGUUCUACUCGCGCAUAUAACAUCAACAUAUAAAACCUAGGCUCGGAUGCCACCGUUGGGUUUUGUAGUAAUUUCAAAAAAUUUCCUACGCUCACGCAAGAUCAUGGUGAUGCAUAGCAACGAGAGGGAAGAGUAUGAUCUACGUACCCUUGUAGAUCGACAACGGAAGCGUUUGGUUGAUGUAGUCGUACGUCUCCACGGCUCGACCGAUCAAGCACCGAAACUACGACACCUCCGAGUUCUAGCACACGUUCAGCUCGAUGACGAUCCCCGGACUCCGAUCCAGCAAAGUGUCGGGGAAGAGUUCCGUCAACACGACGACGUGGUGACGAUCUUGAUGUACUACCGUCGCAGGGCUUCGCCUAAGCACAUCUACAAUAUUAUCGAGGACUAUGGUGGAAGGGGGCACCGCACACGGCUAAGAAUAUGAUCACGUGGAUCAACUUGUGUCUCUAGGGGUGCCCUUGCCUCCGUAUAUAAAGGUUCAAGGGAUGGGGGCCGGUCGGCCAAGGUGUGGCGCGCCAGGAGGAGUCCUACUCCUUCUGGGAGUAGGACUCCCCCCCUUUCCUUGUUGGAAUAGGAUUCAUGGAGGGGGGGGAAAGAGGAGAGAGAGGAGGAAGGGGGGCCGGCCCCCUCUCCUUGUCCAAUUCGGACCAAGGGGGGGAGGGGCGCGCGGCCCAUCUCUAGCCACCUCUCCUCUCUUCCACUAAGGCCCACUAAGGCCCAUAUACCUCCCGGGGGGUUCCGGUAACCUCCCGGUACUCCGGUAAAAUCCCGAUUUCACCCAGAACACUUCCGAUAUCCAAACAUAGGCUUCCCAUAUAUCAAUCUUUAUGUCUCGACCAUUUCGAGACUCCUCGUCAUGUCCGUGAUCACAUCCGGGACUCCGAACAACCUUCGGUACAUCAAAAUGCAUAAACUCAUAAUAUAACUGUCAUCGUAACCUUAAGCGUGCGGACCCUAUGGGUUCGAGAACAAUGUAGACAUGACCGAGACACGUCUCCGGUCAAUAACCAAUAGCGGAACCUGGAUGCUCAUAUUGGCUCCUACAUAUUCUACGAAGAUCUUUUAUCGGUCAGACCGCAUAACAACAUACGUUGUUCCCUUUGUCAUCGGUAUGUUACUUGCCCGAGAUUCGAUCGUCGGUAUCCUAUACCUAGUUCAAUCUCGUUACCGGCAAGUCUCUUUACUCGUUCUGUAAUACAUCAUCCCGCAACUAACUCAUUAGUUGCAAUGCUUGCAAGGCUUAAGUGAUGUGCAUUACCGAGAGGGCCCAGAGAUACCUCUCCGACAAUCGGAGUGACAAAUCCUAAUCUUGAAAUACGCCAACCCAACAUGUACCUUUGGAGACACCUGUAGAGCUCCUUUAUAAUCACCCAGUUACGUUGUGACGUUAGGUAGCACACAAAGUGUUCCUCUGGCAAACGGGAGUUGCAUAAUCUCAUAGUCAUAGGAACAUGUAUAAGUCAUGAAGAAAGCAAUAGCAACAUACUAAAUGAUCGGGUGCUAAGCUAAUGGAAUGGGUCAUGUCAAUCAGAUCAUUCAACUAAUGAUGUGAUCCCGUUAAUCAAAUAACAACUCUUUGUCCAUGGUUAGGAAACAUAACCAUCUUUGAUUAACGAGCUAGUCAAGUAGAGGCAUACUAGUGACACUCUGUUUGUCUAUGUAUUCACACAUGUAUUAUGUUUCCGGUUAAUACAAUUCUAGCAUGAAUAAUAAACUUUUAUCAUGAUAUAAGGAAAUAAAUAAUAACUUUAUUAUUGCCUCUAGGGCAUAUUUCCUUCAUGCACUAGCCCAACUAGCUCAUGAACUGUCCGGGGUUGGCCAAUCCCCCGACAGUUCCAGCUCAGGACUGUCAUGGCUCCUGGUGGGCGCCAUCUUUAGCACCCACCAGGUCCCCGGGAGCCCCAGUUCCGACUGCUUCCUUGUCUUCCUCCUUGCCCUUGCUGCUUGCUUCAGCGUCUGCCUCUGUCUAUUUCUUCUUUUUGUUCUGAUCCACCUCAUUGUCCUUACUCGCCCCCUUGAUCUUGCUGAAAUUCUCUUCAUUUCAUUCCCCUCUCUUACCCAGCACCGAGGCAGAAGGAAACACAUACUUCCUGCGGACCUUCACCCCAGCUGGGAUCAUCUCCUGCCCUACCUUAUCAGUAGCAGUCACAUCUCUCUUCUCUUCACCUUCUAGCUCAUGCAGCCCCGUCACCACGUGGAGACCAGCAUCACCAGCACCCUUAAUGAAGUACUAAGGUAAUGGGCCAAAGCCUGGAGGGAAGAGUGGUCCACUGCCAUUGUCAUCCUUAGCUUUUGCUGCGGCGAACUGUUCAGAGUUCAACAUCGUCUUCCCAGGUCCUGUUUUCACUGCUGUCUCUUCCACCUCCUUCCCAUCCACCUGCAUCUGCUUGUUUGGUGCCGCUAAUUCAGCUGGGACGGUCUCCUGGAUUGGCUUCUCUGCUGUGUUCCCCUUCCUACCCUGCUGAUCGCUGCCUCCUUCCUCAGUAACCUUCAGAGCACUCACCGCCGCUAUUGCCUCUUGCACCAUUGGGUUUGCCAUGAUUUCUUCAGGGACCGCCAUGAGCCUUGCUUUGGCUUGCUUUGGGUAGACAUGCACCUCCUUGCCGAACAUCUCCUGCCCAAAUUGGAGGAACCUGCGAGUUCUGCUGACAUUUGGAUCCACAUAUCCCCUUCUACUAGAGCUAUGCUUAGCAGGGGAGGCACGCAUUGCUGCUGUAAACCUCAUCUUUUGGAGGUCAACAGGUGAAGGAAAUAUGCCCUAGAGGCAAUAAUAAAGUUAUUAUUUAUUUCCUUAUAUCAUGAUAAAUGUUUAUUAUUCAUGCUAGAAUUGUAUUAACCGGAAACAUAAUACAUGUGUGAAUACAUAGACAAACAGAGUGUCACUAGUAUGCCUCUACUUGACUAGCUCGUUAAUCAAAGAUGGUUAUGUUUCCUAACCAUGGACAAAGAGUUGUUAUUUGAUUAACGGGAUCACAUCAUUAGUUGAAUGAUCUGAUUGACAUGACCCAUUCCAUUAGCUUAGCACCCGAUCGUUUAGUAUGUUGCUAUUGCUUUCUUCAUGACUUAUACAUGUUCCUAUGACUAUGAGAUUAUGCAACUCCCGUUUGCCGGAGGAACACUUUGUGUGCUACCAAACGUCACAACGUAACUGGGUGAUUAUAAAGGAGCUCUACAGGCGUCUCCAAAGGUACAUGUUGGGUUGGCGUAUUUCGAGAUUAGGAUUUGUCACUCCGAUUGUCGGAGAGGUAUCUCUGGGCACUCUCGGUAAUGCACAUCACUGAAGCCUUGCAAGCAUUGCAACUAAUGAGUUAGUUGCGGGAUGAUGUAUUACGGAACGAGUAAAGAGACUUGCCGGUAACGAGAUUGAACUAGGUAUUGAGAUACCGACGAUCGAAUCUCGGGCAAGUAACAUACCGAUGACAAAGGGAACAACGUAUGUUGUUAUGCGGUCUGACCGAUAAAGAUCUUCGUAGAAUAUGUAGGAGCCAAUAUGGGCAUCCAGGUCCCGCUAUUGGUUAUUGACCGGAGACGUGUCUCGGUCAUGUCUACAUUGUUCUCGAACCCGUAGGGUCUGCACGCUUAAGGUUUCGAUGACAGUUAUAUUAUGAGUUUGUGGGUUUUGAUGUACCGAAGGAGUUCGGAGUCCCGGAUGAGAUCGGGGACAUGACGAGGAGUCUCGAAAUGGUUGAGACGUAAAGAUCGAUAUAUUGGACGACUAUAUUCGGACAUCGGAAAGAUUCCGAGUGAUUCGGGUAUUUUUCGGAGUACCGGAUAGUUACGGGAGAAGCAAUGGGCCUUGAUGGGCUUUAGUGGGAAGAGGAGAAAGGGCCAAGGGGCUGCUGCGCCCCCCCUCCCCUCUGGUCCGAAUUGGACUAGGAAAAAGGGGGCCGGCCACCUUUCCUUCUCCUCUACUUCCUUCUGUCUUCCUCCCCUCUUGGUAGACUCCUACUAGGACUUGGAGUCCUAGUAGGACUCCACAUCCUGGCCGCACCAAUUGCCUUGGCCGGCCUCCUCCUCCUCCAUCCUUUAUAUACUGAGGCAAGGGGCACCCCAUGAACACAAGUUGAUCCACGUGAUCAUAUUCUUAGCCGUGUGCGGUGCCCCCUUCCACCAUAGUCCUCGAUAAUAUUAUAGCGGUGCUUAGGCGAAGCCCUGCGACUGUAGUACAUCAAGAUCGUCACCAUGCCGUCGUGCUGACGGAACUCUUCCCCGACACUUUGCUGGAUCGGAGUCCGGGGAUCGUCAUCGAGCUGAACGUGUACCAAGAACUCGGAGGUGCUGGAGUAACGGUGCUUGGAUCGGUCGGAUCGUGAAGACAUCGACUACAUCAACCGCGUUGUCACAACGCUUCCGCUGUCGGUCUACAAGGGUACGUAGAUCACACUCUCCCUCUCGUUGCUAUGCAUCACCAUGAUCUUGCAUGUGCGUAUGAAAUUUUUGAAAUUACUAUGUUAUCCAACAGUGGCAUCCGAGCCUAGGUUUUAUAUGUUGAUGUUAUAUGCACGAGUAGAACACAAGUGAGUUGUGGGCGAUAUAAGUCAUACUGCUUACCAGCAUGUCAUACUUUGGUUCGGCGGUAUUGUUGGACGAAGCGGCCCGGACCGACAUUACGCGUACGCUUACGCGAGACCGGUUCUCCCGACGUGCUUUGCACAUAGGUGGCUUGCGGGUGACAGUUUCUCCAACUUUAGUUGAACCAAGUGUGGCCACGCCCGGUCCUUGUGAAGGUUAAAACAGUACCAACUUGACAAACUAUCAUUGUGGUUUUGAUGCGUAGGUAAGAUUGGUUCCUGCUUAAGCCCGUAGCAGCCACGUAAAACAUGCAACAACAAAGUAAAGGACGUCUAACUUGUUUUUGCAGGGCAUGUUGUGAUGUGAUAUGGUCAAGACAUGAUGCUAAAUUUUAUUGUAUGAGAUGAUCAUGUUUUGUAACCGAGUUAUCGGCAACUGGCAGGAGCCAUAUGGUUGUCGCUUUAUUGUAUGCAAUGCAAUCGCGUUGUAAUGCUUUACUUUAUCACUAAGCGGUAGCGAUAGUUGUGGAAGCAUAAGAUUGGCGAGACGACAACGAUGCUACGAUGGAGAUCAAGGUGUCGCGCCGGUGACGAUGGUGAUCAUGACGGUGCUUCGGAGAUGGAGAUCACAAGCACAAAAUGAUGAUGGCCAUAUCAUAUCACUUAUAUUGAUUGCAUGUGAUGUUUAUCUUUUAUGCAUCUUAUCUUGCUUUGAUUGACGAUAGCAUUAUAAGAUGAUCUCUCACUAAAUUAUCAAGAAGUGUUCUCCCUGAGUAUGCACCGUUGCGAAAGUUCUUCAUGCUGAGACACCACGUGAUGAUCGGGUGUGAUAGGCUCUACGUUCAAAUACAACGGGUGCAAAACAGUUGCACACGCGGAAUACUCAGGUUAUAAUUGACGAGCCAAGCAUAUACAGAUAUGGCCUCGGAACACGGAGACCGAAAGGUCGAGCGUGAAUCAUAUAGUAGAUAUGAUCAACAUAGCGAUGUUCACCAAUGAAACUACUCCAUCUCACAUGAUGAUCGGACAUGGUUUAGUUGAUUUGGAUUACGUAAUCACUUAGAGGAUUAGAGGGAUGUCUAUCUAAGUGGGAGUUCUUAAGUAAUAUGAUUAAAUUGAACUUAAAUUUAUCAUGAACUUAGUCCUGGUAGUAUUUUGCAAAUUAUUUUAUAGAUCAAUAGCUCACGUUGUUGCUUCCCUAUGUUUAUUUUGAUAUGUUCCUAGAGAAAAUUGUGUUGAAAGAUGUUAGUAGCAAUGAUGCGGAUUGGAUCCGUGAUCUGAGGUUUAUCCUCAUUGCUGCACAGAAGAAUUAUGUCCUUGAUGCACCGCUAGGUGACGGACCUAUUGCAGGAGCAGAUGCAGACGUUAUGAACGUUUGGCUAGCUCAAUAUGAUGACUACUUGAUAGUUUAGUGCAUCAUGCUUAAUGGCUUAGAAUCGGGACUUCAAAGACGUUUUGAACGUCAUGGAGCAUAUGAGAUGUUCCAGGAGUUGAAGAUAAUAUUUCAAGCAAAUACCCGAGUUGAGAGAUAUGAAGUCUCCAACAAGUUCUAUAGCUAAAAGAUGGAGGAGAAUCGCUCAACUAGUGAGCAUGUGCCCAGAUUGUCUGAGUACUACAAUCGCUUGAAUCAAGUGGGAGUUAAUCUUCCAGAUAAGAUAGUGAUUGACAAAAUUCUCUAGUCACCAUCACCAAGUUAGUAGAACUUCAUGAUGAACUAUGAUAUGCAAAGGAUAACGGAAACGAUUCCCAAGAUCUUCGUAAUGCGGAAAUUGACGAAGGUAGAAAUCGAGAAAAACAUCAAGUGUUGAUGGUAGACAAGACCACUAAUUUCAAGAAAAGGGCAGAGGGAAGAAGGGGAACUUCAAGAAGAACAGCAAGCAAGUUGCUGCUCAAGUGAAGAAGCCCAAGUCUGGUCCUAAGCCUGAGACUAAGUGUUUCUACUGCAAAGGGACUGGUCACUGGAAGCGGAACUACCCCAAGUGAUUGGCAGAUAAGAAGGAUGGCAAAGUGAACAUAAGUAUAUUUGAUAUACAUGUUAUUGAUGUGUACUUUACUAGUGUUUAUAGCAACCCCUCAGUAUUUGAUACUAGUUCAGUUGCUAAGAUUAGUAACUCGAAACGGGAGUUGCAGAAUAAACAGAGACUAGUUAAGGGUGAAGUGACGAUGUGUGUUGGAAGUGGUUCCAAGAUUGAUAUGAUCAUCAUCGCACACUCCCUAUACUUUCGGGAUUAGUGUUGAACCUGAAUAAGUGUUAUUUGGUGUUUGCGUUAAGCAUGAAUAUGAUUUGAUCAUGUUUAUUGUAAUACUGUUAUUCAUUUAAGUAAGAGAAUAAAUUGUUGUUCUGUUUACAUGAAUAAAACCUUAUAUGGUUACACACCCAAUGAAAAUAGUUCGUUGGAUCUCGAUCGUAGUGAUACACAUAAUCAUAAUAUUGAAACCAAAAGAUGCAAAGUUAAUAUUGAUAGUGCAACUUAUUUGUAGCACUGCCGUUUAGGUCAUAUUGGUGUAAAGCGCAUGAAGAAACUCCAUGCUGAUGGGAUUUUGGAAUCACUUGAUUAUGAAUCACUUGAUGCUUGCGAACCAUGCCUCAUGGGCAAGAUGACUAAGACUCCAUUCUCCGGAGCGAGCAACUGACUUAUUGGAAAUAAUACAUACUGAUGUAUGCGGUCCGAUGAGUGUUAAGGCUCACGGCAAGUAUCGUUAUUUUCUGAACUUCACAGAUGAUUUGAGCAGAUAUGGGUAUAUCUACUUGAUGAAACAUAAGUCUAAAACAUUUGAAAAGUUCAAAGAAUUUCAGAGUGAAGUGGAAAAUCAUCGUGACAAGAAAAUAAAGUUUCUACGAUCUGAUCACGGAGACAAAUAUUUGAGUUACGAGUUUGGUCUUCAAUUAAAACAAUGUGGAAUAGUUUCACAAACUCAUGCCACAUGGAACACCACAGCAUAAUGGUGUGUCCGAACGUCAUAACCGUACUUUAUUGGAUAUAGUGCAAUCUAUGAUGUCUCUUACCAAUCUACCACUAUCAUUUUGGGGUUAUGCAUUAGAGACAGCUGCAUUCACGUUAAAUAGGGCACCAUCUAAAUCCGUUGAGACGACACCAUAUGAACUAUGGUUUGGCAAGAAACCUAAGCUGUCAUUUCUUAAAGUUUGGGACUGCGAUGCUUAUGUGAAAAAGUUUCAACAUGAUAAGCUCGAACCCAAAUCGGAGAAGUAAAUCUUCAUAGGAUAUCCAAAGGAAACUAUUGGAUACACCUUCUAUCACAGAUCUGAAGGCAAGACUUUUGUUGCUAAAUUCGGAAACUUUCUGGAGAAGGAGUUUCUCUCGAAAGAAGUGAGUGGGAGGAAAGUAAAAAAACUUGAUAAGGUAAUUGUACCUUCUCCCUUAUUGGAAAGUAGUUCAUCACAGAAAUCUGUUCCUGUGACUACUACACCAAUUAGUGAGGAAGCUAAUGAUGAUGAUCAUGUAACUUCAGAUCAAGUUACUACCGAAUCUCGCAGGUAAACCAGAGUGAGAUCCGCACCAGAGUGGUACUGUAAUCCUGUUCUGGAAGUCAUGUUACUAGACCAUGACGAACUUGCGAACUAUGAGGAAGCGAUGAUGAGCCCAGAUUCCGCAAAAUGGCUUGAGGCCAUGAAAUCUGAGAUGGGAUCCAUGUAUGAGAACAAAGUAUGGACUUUGGUUGACUUGCCCGAUGAUCGGCAAGCAAUUAAGAAUAAAUGGAUCUUCAAGAGGAAGACGGACGCUGAUAGUAUUGUUACUAUCUACAAAGCUAGAAUUGUCGCAAAAGGUUUUCGACAAGUUCAAGGUGUUGACUACGAUGAGAGUUUCUCACUCGUAUCUAUGCUUAAAUCUGUCCGAAUCAUGUUAGCAAUUGCCGCAUUUUAUGAAAUCUGGCAAAUGGAUAACAAAACUGCAAUCCUUAAUGGAUUUCUUAAAGAAGAAUUGUAUAUGAUGCAACCAGAAGUUUUUGUCAAUCCUAAAGGUGUUAACAAAAUAUACAAACUCCAGCGAUCCAUCUAUGGACUAGUGUAAGCAUCUCGGAGUUGGAAUAUACGCUUUGAUGAGUUGAUCAAAGCAUAUAGUUUUAUAAAGACUUGCGGUGAAGCCUGUAUUUACAAGAAAGUGAGUGGGAGCACUAUAACAUUUCUGAUAAGUAUAUGUGAAUGACAUAUUGUUGAUCGGAAAUAAUGUAGAAUUAUUCUGCAAAGCAUAAAGGAGUGUUUGAAAGGAGUUUUUCAAAGAAAGACCUCGGUGAAGUUGCUUACAUAUUGAGCAUCAAGAUCUAUAGAGAUAGAUCAACACGCUUGAUAAGGUUUUUCAAUAAAUACAUACCUUGACAAGAUUUUGAAGUAGUUCGAAAUGGAAUAGACAAAGAAAGAGUUUCUUGCCUAUGUUACAAGGUGUGAAAUUGAGUAAGACUCAAAGCCCGACCACGGCAGAGAUAGAAAGAGAAUGAAUAUCAUUCCCUAUGCCUUGGUCAUAGGUUCUAUAAAGUAUGUCAUGCUGUGUACCAGAUCUAUUGUAUACCCUACUACUGAGUUUGGCAAGGGAGUACAAUAGUGAUCUAGGAGUAGAUCACUGGACAGCGAUCAAAAUUAUCCUUAGUGGAAUAAGGAUAUGUUUCUCGAUUAUGGAAGUGAAAAAAGGUUCGUCGUAAAGGGUUACGCCGAUGCAAGUUUUGAUACUAAUCUAGAUGAAUCUAAGUCUCAAUCUAGAUACAUAUUGAAAGUGGGAGCAAUUAGCUAGAGUAGCUCCGUGCAGAGCAUUAUUGACAUAAAUAUUUGCAAAAUACUUACGGAUCUGAAUAUAACAGACCCGUGACUAAAAUUAUCUCACAAGCACAACAUGAUCACACCUUAGUACUCUUUGGGUGUUAAUCACACAUCGAUGUGAACUAGAUUACUGACUCUAGUAAACCCUUUGGGUGUUGGUCACAUAUCGAUGUGGACUAUGGGUGUUAAUCACAUGGUUAUGAGAACUAUUGCUAUUAAAUCACAUGGCGAUGUGAACUAGAUUAUUGACUCUAGUGCAAGUGGGAGACUGAAGGAAAUAUGCCCUAGAGGCAAUAAUAAAGUUAUUAUUUAUUUCCUUAUAUCAUGAUAAAUGUUUAUUAUUCAUGCUAGAAUUGUAUUAACCGGAAACAUAAUACAUGUGUGAAUACAUAGACAAACAAAGUGUCACUAGUAUGCCUCUACUUGACUAGCUCGUUAAUCAAAGAUGGUUAUGUUUCCUAACCAUGGACAAAGAGUUGUUAUUUGAUUAACGGGAUCACAUCAUUAGUUGAAUGAUCUGAUUGACAUGACCCAUUCCAUUAGCUUAGCACCCGAUCGUUUAGUAUGUUGAUAUUGCUUUCUUCAUGACUUAUACAUGUUCCUAUGACUAUGAGAUUAUGCAACUCCCGUUUGCCGGAGGAACACUUUGUGUGCUACCAAAGUCACAAUGUAACUGGGUGAUUAUAAAGGAGCUCUAUAGGCGUCUCCAAAGGUACAUGUUGGGUUGGCGUAUUUCGAGAUUAGGAUUUGUCACUCCGAUUGUCGGAGAGGUAUCUCUGGCCCCUCUCGGUAAUGCACAUCACCGAAGCCUUGCAAGCAUUGCAACUAAUGAGUUAGUUGCGGGAUGAUGUAUUACGGAACGAGUAAAGAGACUUGCCGGUAACGAGAUUGAACUAGGUAUUGAGAUACCGACGAUCGAAUCUCGGGCAAGUAACAUACCGAUGACAAAGAGAACAACGUAUGUUGUUAUGCGGUCUGACCGAUAAAGAUCUUCGUAGAAUAUGUAGGAGCCAAUAUGGGCAUCCAGGUCCCGCUAUUGGUUAUUGACCGGAGACGUGUCUCGGUCAUGUCUACAUUGUUCUCGAACCCGUAGGGUCCGCACGCUUAAGGUUUCGAUGACAGUUAUAUUAUGAGUUUAUGAGUGUUGAUGUACCGAAGGAGUUCGGAGUCCCGGAUGAGAUCGGGGACAUGACGAGGAGUCUCGAAAUGAUUGAGACGUAAAGAUCGAUAUAUUGGACGACUAUAUUCGGACAUCGGAAAGGUUCCGAGUGAUUCGGGUAUUUUUCGGAGUACCGGGUAGUUACGGGAGAAGCAAUGGGCCUUGAUGGGCUUUAGUGGGAAGAGGAGAAAGGGCCAAGGGGCUGCUGCGCCCCCUCCCCUCUGGUCCGAAUUGGACUAGGGAAAAGGGGGCCGGCCACCUUUCCUUCUCCUCUACUUCCUUCUCCCUUCCUCCCCUCUUGGUAGACUCCUACUAGGACUUGGAGUCCUAGUAGGACUCCACAUCCUGGCCGCACCAAUUGCCUUGGCCGGCCUCCUCCUCCUCCUCCAUCCUUUAUAUACUGAGGCAAGGGGCACCCCAUGAACACAAGUUGAUCCACAUGAUCAUAUUCUUAGCCGUGUGCGGUGCCCCCUUCCACCAUAGUCCUCGAUAAUAUUGUAGCGGUGCUUAGGCGAAGCCCUGCGACUGUAGUACAUCAAGAUCGUCACCACACCGUCGUGCUGACGGAACUCUUCCCCGACACUUUGCUGGAUCGGAGUCCGGGGAUCGUCAUCGAGCUGAACGUGUGCCAAGAACUCGGAGGUGCCGGAGUAACGGUGCUUGGAUCGGUCGGAUCGUGAAGACGUACGACUACAUCAACCGCGUUGUCACAAUGCUUCCGCUGUCGGUCUACAAGGGUACGUAGAUCACACUCUCCCCUCUCGUUGCUAUGCAUCACCAUGAUCUUGCAUGUGCGUAGGAAAUUUUGGAAAUUACUACGUUACUCAACAACAGGCAGCUUACAAUUGUGUUGUCCAUGCCCUAUGAGACCACAGUACCCACAGAAUCGAGGCACUCUCUCAUACUUAACCUCUAAGCAAUAGAAAUCAUUCUCUGACUUCUCAUGGAAAGUUACAUCACUACGGAGAGGCACAUCUACAUCGUGCUUGAUACGGAUUCUAAUGUAGUCCCCCCAAAUUUUACCUUCCUUGUCACAGUCCACAGCCAGGACCUCUCCUAGCUCUGCACCCACCUUCCAUGCAACUCUUUCUGACAUCAUGAUGGGAGGAGUGUCGUGAACACGUACCCAUAUUGGCAUGUGAGCGACUUCAACAUCAGCCGGUCUCUGGCUACCAUCCACUACCACCAUCAGGAAAGCAUCUCCCUUGUGAGUCCAGGGGCCGUUGUUGAGGAUGUGCCGGCGAUCUCCUUCCCGCUCAAACUCCAUCAGGUAGCGGUUGUUCUUGAGUGGGGAGUAGGUCAGCCGUCCCCUCAAGCCCCACUUGCUCUUCAUCUCUCGGAACAAACCUUCAGUGCCGAAGGCUUGUGGCGAGAAGAAGAGGCCCACUGCGAUCCAGUGGGUGCGCAUUGCCGCCUUCUCCGCAGACAGGUCUAGUUCCACAGCCUCCUUGAUCUGCCCGCAGAUGAUGGCAGGAAGCUUGGGAUCAGCAGCAUCCCCGACGGCCCCCACUCUGGGCGUCGGGACCAUGGCCUCCUCUGGGACAGACAGGGUGUUGAUCGCACCCCAUGGCCAUGGGAUGAGCCACCGUGCAACACGACCCUUUCCGGUCUUCCUCCCUCCGACCGCUUGGGUGGCACCUCACUUUCACUCAUGGCGCCCUUGCCCUUGCUCAUGAGGUUCUCCAUGGACAAGCCGGUGGCAAUCGCAGGUGGAGGUCGAGGAAUAGUACAUGCUACAUGCCCUUGAUCCUGGGUUUUAUACCCCAUCGGUGCAGAUCCGGUCCUGGCGACUUGCUCUGGCCCUGCAAUUGGUAUGUGAUCUCAUGAUAUCGCUGUAUCAGGGAUGGUAAUCAUCUCCAAAUCCUUUUCUCUUCCUCUGUCCGGCGGAUCUCCCGGCGGUAAUAGUUCCAGCCUAUCCUUUCUCCCAAUCCACGAGCGCCCCAGAUCCCUUCUCAAGCUCUGAAUCUUGUCUUUGAUUCGAUCCAUACCCCCCACCUCCGGUUGACCCCGAUUUUCCCCGCCCCGAUUCUUAGUUUCCUUCCUUUGGAUUUUCCUCAUCUCCAUCUUCUUGAUCGCAUUCCUUACCUGCAUCCAAUCCUUUCUCAAUCCUAAUGAAUCCCAAUUGGGGCAUAUCUCUUCCUUCCUACAGAUAUCCUCGCCCUUCCUCCGGGAAGGGUGAACUCUCACCGCCGGCGCGGCAUUCUCGGGAUCUACCCCUGAUCGCCUCGCGAUCGCCUCGAAAGGGGGAGCGUAAAUUGCGGGGCGGUCCAUUCUAUAAGGAGUUUUCCUGCAUUAUUAAAAUUUAACUAAACUUUAUUUUUAGUAUUUUAUAAGUAAAAAAUUGAGCGAAACAAUUUAUAUGUAAAUAACAUCUGCUUAGGGAGCCAACGUUUCUCUCCAGACGGGCCCUUACAUACCCAAGCAUCUAUUCCAGAGAAGGUUUUUGCCUCAAGAUUCACCCACUUGGCUGAAAAAGACCUUACAGUAAACCUAUACAUGGCACGUGGUAUUAAUUUUGGGAUGUGGUGGUGUACAAACGCCUCGUGGAUCCAUUUAUUUCAUUGAAAUUUUUUGAACGGGUGUGGCAUUUGGUUUGGUUGAUUUAGCGUUUUUUGGUUGUGUUUGGCUCAAUCUGUUCGUGUGUGUUUGUGUGUGCGUAUGUGCUGUCCCUUUCGGCUGUUUGAAUGUGGUUUCUUUCUCAUGUGCUAUCGCUUUCGGUUCUGCCGACGUGGUUGUUUUUUUAGCGUGUGUCACUGUCCAUUCUAGCAUAUGUUUGAAACAGAUAGUUCAUCACGUUUGCAAAGCAUAACCACUGUUAGGGUCGUCUUCUUCGUGUGCUUCCUCCAUGCUGUCUUCCGUUUCCCGGCCUGCAUGCUGCUGCAUCACCUACUUUCACAGGAGUAGUUCAGUGCUGCUGCAUGGUGGUGACCUGGUGGGUCUCUCUCUCUCUAUGAAGUGUCCCAUACAUAGUGUGACUGUAUCUGAAGCGGGACUGCUUCUGUCUGGGCAGCUCAAUAGUAAUAGCGUGUGUUUCAUCACCAUCAGCUAGCGAUCCAGGACUUCGUACUAAACUGCUACUAAAUUCACAAGAGGGAGCAUUUCAAUAAAUAAAAAUCUAUCGAUGCUUUAUAAUAUCAUGCAUACAUGUAUGAUGUAUCAACAGUUCUUUUUAGUUCUACUUCAUACCAAAAAAUAAAUUUGCAAUGUCUGAACAAAUAUGAAGUAUAAAAUUAUAUUAUGAAAGGGAAUUUUUUGAUUUUCAAAACUAAUGAACUUGGGCCUGCUUACAACACGUAUUCAUCAGUUAACUACACUUUUUUGGGGUAAUUGCUCUUUCAAAUCUCCAUAAGAGGGCAAAAACACCACUCUUCUCGAGAUGAUCGCAGUCAGCUGGAUGGGCUCCACACUUCCCGUGCCAUUUUAUAUGUUUUAAAUUGCACUUCAGAGAGCGUUCACCAGUUAACUGAAACUUAUUGUGUUCUAAAAUUUAAUCCAGGUGGUGUCUUUGGACUAAGGCCACUCUGGAGUGGUAACAUUAGCACAACUGAUGGUUGGUUUUUUUCCCCUGUUGACAUGUAUCUCCUUUCUUUUGAUGUGAAUACAUCAAUAGAAUAAGGGGUUUCUAAUAUUACUGUCUUACAUAGUUCACAGAUUAUUGAAGCUUUUUGCGGCUAUGGAAAUCUGACCAGAGACUAUUCGGUCUUAUCUCUGAAUUGAAGAUAAGAAGUGUAAAUGUUCAGAUAUGUAUGUUACCCCUUUUGUAAACUAAUAUAGGACCGUUUAGACUACUACUUUAGAUCACUAAAGUUGUGAUCUAAAUGGUCUUAUAUUAGUUUACAAAGGGAUUACCUCCUAACCACUCUUUACAGAUUUAUUAUCUAUGAAAUGCAUCCAAGCAAGUCCUAUCUUAUCUGCAAUUACCCCCUUAGAUAUCUGGAGUUUAGAGCUCACUAUCCUUCCAGGUUCUCUACUGGUUGUAUUUCCUUGACAACUUCGAGGGAGGAAUAAGUACUGUUUGUCAUUCUUUGACAUGUAUAAUACCAUACUAGAGAUGUGAAUUGUUGGAGUUCAUUUAGUGGAGUAUUAGUAGAUAAAUGAUUUCUUUUCUUCGCAUUCAACUGGUGUAUAUGUGUUUAGUCCAUUCCCAAAAUGAUUUGUAAAGUUGCCUUAACAACUAAACAGCCUUCAUGUGUAUUGGUACUCUGUUUUUUGGGCAGCUGGAAGAAAUCAGUUUAUCAAUUAACAAAUAUGGAACGGAGGGAGUAGUUAGUUAGGCAUCACAGUGAAGCUUGGCGAAGGGGCAUUUUUUUAGGCCUACAAGGCUGGAUGCACUGUAUCAAAGUGGUACCAUCUGAUGGGCAUUCAUUUGUCAACUACCACUUUUUUUAGCUGUAUCGCGUGCCAAAAAAUUGAAUUGACAAUGUCUGAACAAAUAUGAAGUAUAAAGUUAUAUCAUUGAAGAGAAUUGUUUUAUUUUCAAAAGUAAUGAAGUUGGAUCUGCUUAAAGCACAUAUUCACGAGUUAACUUCACUUUUUAGGGUAAUUGUAAUUUAAAUAUCCACAAGAGGACAAAAACACUACUCUUCUGGAGGUCAUCUAAAUAAGAUGGAAGGGCUCCACACUUCCCGUGCCAUUUUAUGUAUUUUAGAAUUUACUUCAGAGAGACUUCAUCAGUUUGUGCUCUAAAUUUUACUUUAGAGAGUGUCUUUGGACUGAGGCCACUUUAGCACAAUUGAUGGCUGCUUUUCCUCCCCUGUGGACAUGUACCUCCUUUAUCUAGAUGUGAAUAUAUCAAUAAAACAAGGAAUUUUUAAUAUUACUGUCUGACGGAGUUCACAGAUUAUUGAAGAUUUUUGCAGCUAUGGAGAUCUGACCAAACAGUCUUCUAUCCUACCUCUGAAUUGAAGAUGUAUUGGGUCUGUAUAUGAAGUGUAAAUAUUCAGAUAUGUAUGUUACCUCCUAACUUCUCUUUACAGAUUUAUUAUCUAUGAAAUGCAUGCAAGCAAGUUCUAUCUUAUAGACAAUUACUCUCUUAUAGAUAAAUCCGUUGAUUCAUGAAUUAAAUGGCCAGAGAUCGGUGCAGUCAAGUGGAUUGAUACCUGGACUUUAGAGCUCAAAAUCCUUCUAACUUCUCUACUGGCUGUAUUUUGUUGACAGCUUUGAGAGAAGAACAAGUACUGUUAGUCAUUCCAUGACAUGUAUAAUUUAAAUACUAGAGAAGUGAAUUGAUAGUUCAUUUAGUAGAGUAUUAGUAGAUGAUGGUGUAUAUCCUGAUAUGUUUAGUCCGUUCCCAAAAUAAUUUGUGAAGUAGCCUUAAUAAUUAUAAACCUUCUCUGUAUAUUAGUACUCAGUUUUUUGGGGAGCUGGAAGAAGCCAGCUUACCAUAACAUGUGAAAAUGAAUUUAUUUACCUGCAGUGUUGCUUUUAUUAGUUGACAAAGUUGUUUGUUAAAUACUCCCUCCGUCCAGAAAUACUUGUCAUCAAAAUGGAGAAAAAAGGAUGUAUCUAGAUGUAUUUUAGUUCUAGAUACAUCUUUUUUUAUCCAUUUUGAUGACAAGUAUUUUUUGACGGAGGGAGUAGUUAGUUAGGCAUUACAAUGAAGCUUGGCCAAGGGACUUCUGUUGAGGCCUACAAAGCUCGAAGAACUGUAAGUAGAGUGGUGCCUUUUGAUGUAUAUUCAUUUGUCGACUAAUACCUGGCCAUACUAGAGAAGUGCGCACACACCCCCUAACAGAUUCUAAAUGUGUACUUGGACGACCUUUAAAUACCUGGAUGAUAUUCCACAUAAACAAAGCCAUAUCGUCAUUUUAAUACAAUAAGCAAGCAGGGGCCCAUAAAACAAAUAGCUACUCUUUUUUGAUGUGUAGCAAAUUCAUUACUUAUGGGGGCAUCAAGAAGAGCUCUCUGCACAAAGGAUUCAUUACCUGAGCGAGGCAUACAAUCCAAGAGCCCUUUCAACGUUUCACCUUAGAUGAUAUAAUAUAACCAUAAGUUUUAUUUCUCAAAAUAUAGGAGGUGUACCACCCUGCACAAAGGAAACAAGAGUUUUACAAGUGUCCAGUAGCCAGGGUUGCAUAACUGUGAGAAAUUGAUGAUAAAACACAAUGUGAUAAUUCAACAGGUAAAACCGAAUUUAAGGUAAGCUAACUAAAUUGAGCAUUUGUUUCCCCAUUGGACAUGUCAGAAUUCACAAACAUCCAAAAGGAAAAGAUAAUGUAUCGACCAAACUACCAAAAUUAGAAAUUCUCUGUCAUGUACAACAAAUGCACCAACCCAUCAACCUAGACAGCAAUACUAAUAAAAGUUACAUUUUUCAAGUAGCCAGGCUGCCUCGAAUUACAAGAAUUUGAUCACUAUUCUUACUAAGAAACAAGUAAAGUACUGAAGUAGUACAUGUUAGCAUCAAUCUUAUUACUAUCCAGAGAAGCUCAAUUCAGGCAAAACAAGCCAAGGAAGCACACGACAACCAGAAACAGUGAGUGAAGGAAAGGAACCGAACCUGAGACACCCGAGGAGGAAUUCGCCAUCUCUGCCACCCGGCCCAAACGAUACCCCAGCAGAAUUGAGGAGCACGAGGACGAUAUGCUCACCCCACGAGCAGCUCCAUGGAUCUUGGCCCUCUCCGUGGCCAGGGCGACAGACUGCGAUGGCGAGCACGAGUCCAUGGAGGGGAUCAAGCAGCGCUUCGCGGCGGUGCAUGUGUGGCUCGCAGGUCGACUGUGGGCGGUGCGUGUCGGAAGAACUCACGUGUGGUUGCGGCAGUGCACAGCCAGGCGAAGCUCGCGGCGCGACGGCGGCCGGUGCGUGCGUGCGCGUAGUUGCCGUGAGUGGCUACCUGCGGUGUGGCCGCCGCACGACAUACGACAGCGCUCGGCCCCUUCGCUGCUCCCGCCACCUCUGUAGCUCAUGGUGGCGAGCCGGCGACGUCUCUGCGGCGAGCCAAUGCUAUCUAAAUGGUGUGCGGCACAGGAGCAGAGAGAG
Molecule: long non-coding RNA, 19705 nt
Filed under: Triticum aestivum (bread wheat)
Lineage: Eukaryota; Viridiplantae; Streptophyta; Magnoliopsida; Poales; Poaceae
Description: long non-coding RNA (TAES_LNC025971)
Rfam family: MIR1120/MIR1122 microRNA precursor family (bases 18173-18307)
Source: RNAcentral